Molecule: non-coding RNA, 335 nt
Filed under: uncultured fungus
Lineage: Eukaryota; Fungi
Also listed under: 3 other names
Description: eukaryotic LSU rRNA
Rfam family: 5.8S ribosomal RNA (bases 1-105)
Source: RNAcentral
GAAAUGCGAUACGUAUUGUGAAUUGCAGAUUUUCGUGAAUCAUCGAAUCUUUGAACGCACAUUGCACCCUCUGGUAUUCCAGAGGGUAUGCCUGUUUGAGCGUCAUUUCUCUCUCAAACCUUCGGGUUUGGUAUUGAGUGAUACUCUGUCAAGGGUUAACUUGAAAUAUUGACUUAGCAAGAGUGUACUAAUAAGCAGUCUUUCUGAAAUAAUGUAUUAGGUUCUUCCAACUCGUUAUAUCAGCUAGGCAGGUUUAGAAGUAUUUUAGGCUCGGCUUAACAACAAUAAACUAAAAGUUUGACCUCAAAUCAGGUAGGACUACCCGCUGAACUUAA